Callithrix jacchus (white-tufted-ear marmoset) is the source of this 148-nucleotide unclassified non-coding RNA. It matches the Rfam family "Metazoan signal recognition particle RNA". From Rfam's summary of the family: The signal recognition particle (SRP) is a universally conserved ribonucleoprotein. It is involved in the co-translational targeting of proteins to membranes. NCBI's taxonomy places the organism in Eukaryota, Metazoa, Chordata, Mammalia, Primates, Cebidae. The record is from Ensembl.
GCCAGGUGUGGAAAUGCCUACCUGUAGUCCCAGCUACUUGGGAGGCUGAGGUAGGAGUAUCAUUUUAGCCCAGGAACUGGAGACUGCAGUGAGACAUGAUUAUGCCACUGCACUCCAGCCUGGGCAACAGAGUGAGACCCUGUCUCUA